CAGACACUCUUAUCUCCUAAAUUGAUGUAUGAGUCUGUGGUGCAUCAUUUUUUGUUCCUGAGGUUCAAGCAUCAAUGCGCCUCUUCCAGUGGAUUAUGGCAUAAGGAUCUCUUUGUUCGAAGUUGGAUCCAUAAGGUGUGAGUGGGUCACCAAUGAGCUGUGCCACUUCCUCCGUUGGAUCUGUGAUGCUCGAGGGUUUAUGUGUUUCCUAUCAAUUACUUGCUUUCAUAAAGAUCCGGACGACGACAGUGGUGAAGAUGGCUCCGUGUUUUUCACCUUCCUUUGGCUUUAUAUGUCUUCUCCGGUGAUCAACGGGGUCAAUUGGGUCGAGCAACGUUCCUCGCUGCUUCUUGAUUAAUCGAGUCAUGGUUCCAGGCUAUUGACAUAUUAUAAUUAAGGUUUUGGUCCUGCUGUUAGGCCUAUUCUUGGGUGCGCUUAGUUGAAUUUACUUGUAUUUAGAACUAUUUUAUAAUGGGCAUAGACAUUUUUUACUCAAUGAAAUGUCACAAAGGCCUUUUGCACUGGUAAUUUUCCCUGGCAAUCCCCCAACUUUGGAUCAAUAUAUCUUUGACUAUCUUACGGUAAA
Hevea brasiliensis (rubber tree) is the source of this 586-nucleotide long non-coding RNA. RefSeq lists it as uncharacterized. The record is from RefSeq and is a predicted model, not a curated record. The transcript is spliced from 2 exons. NCBI's taxonomy places the organism in Eukaryota, Viridiplantae, Streptophyta, Magnoliopsida, Malpighiales, Euphorbiaceae.